This 253-nucleotide ribosomal RNA is filed under the name uncultured bacterium. Its description in RNAcentral is "partial 16S ribosomal RNA". It matches the Rfam family "Bacterial small subunit ribosomal RNA", at positions 524 to 776 of the family's 1533-position model. The record is from RNAcentral.
UACGGAGGGGGCUAGCGUUAUUCGGAAUUACUGGGCGUAAAGCGCGCGUAGGUGGCCAAUCAAGUCAGAGGUGAAAUCCCAGGGCUCAACCCUGGAACUGCCUUUGAAACUGAAUGGCUAGAAUCUUGGAGAGGUGAGUGGAAUUCCGAGUGUAGAGGUGAAAUUCGUAGAUAUUCGGAAGAACACCAGUGGCGAAGGCGACUCACUGGACAAGUAUUGACACUGAGGUGCGAAAGCGUGGGGAGCAAACAGG